RNAcentral lists this transfer RNA (70 nucleotides) under Cricetulus griseus (Chinese hamster). It matches the Rfam family "tRNA". From Rfam's summary of the family: Transfer RNA (tRNA) molecules are approximately 80 nucleotides in length. Their secondary structure includes four short double-helical elements and three loops (D, anti-codon, and T loops). The record is from Rfam by way of RNAcentral. Lineage: Eukaryota; Metazoa; Chordata; Mammalia; Rodentia; Cricetidae.
GGGGAUAUAGCUUAUUUAAUAUAGCGCUUGCCUAGCACGCAGGAGGCCUCAGGUUCAAUUCCUACUACCA